GACGAACGCUGGCGGCGUGCCUAACACAUGCAAGUCGAACGGAGCUUAUUAAUUAGAUCCCUUCGGGGUGACGAUUUUUAAGCUUAGUGGCGGACGGGUGAGUAACGCGUGAGUAACCUGCCUUACAGAGGGGGGACAACAGUUGGAAACGACUGCUAAUACCGCAUAACAUAUUUUGAGGGCAUCCUCGAGAUAUCAAAGGAGCAAUCCGCUGUAAGAUGGACUCGCGUCCAAUUAGAUAGUUGGUGGGGUAACGGCCCACCAAGUCGACGAUUGGUAGCCGGACUGAGAGGUUGAACGGCCACAUUGGGACUGAGACACGGCCCAGACUCCUACGGGAGGCAGCAGUGGGGGAUAGUUGCACAAUGGAGGAAACUCUGAUGCAGCAACGCCGCGUGAGGGAAGAAGGUUUUCGGAUUGUAAACCUCUGUUUUUAGUGAAGAAACAAAUGACGGUAGCUAAAGAGGAAGCCGACGGCUAACUACGUG
RNAcentral lists this ribosomal RNA (488 nucleotides) under uncultured bacterium. RNAcentral's name for it is "bacterial SSU rRNA". It matches the Rfam family "Bacterial small subunit ribosomal RNA", at positions 28 to 507 of the family's 1533-position model. The record is from RNAcentral.